Helianthus annuus (common sunflower) is the source of this 534-nucleotide long non-coding RNA. RefSeq lists it as uncharacterized. The transcript is spliced from 2 exons. NCBI's taxonomy places the organism in Eukaryota, Viridiplantae, Streptophyta, Magnoliopsida, Asterales, Asteraceae. The record is from RefSeq and is a predicted model, not a curated record.
AGUGGAAUGGGGUUUAGGUUAAAAAUGAAAAUCAAUCUUGCCCCCUUUUAACAUAAACCCUAGCUAGUUCCUCAGGGAAGGGCCAUGGAACAUAUGCUGGUGCUAGCCACUGAUCGGAAUCAACAAUCAACGCAAACAUUCAUAAAUCUCCGCAUAUGUAAGAAAAACUCUCAUUAAUGCACAUAUUCGAGAUGAAGGAUCGAGCCUUUGGUUGGGACCGAGCUUCACAAUUUGGAACUCAAGUUAUGCCCAUUUACGAAUUCCGAGCUGAGGGAUCGAGCCUUAGGUAUAAUUGAGCUUCACUAUGCGAUUUGGACCUCCAACUUAGGCCUAUUUUUGAGCUCAGGGAUAGAGCCUCAGGUAGAACCGAGCUUUUCUUGGCGAUUUGAAAUUGGUGCUUGUCGGGAAAGCUUUUUAAUGAUUCAUUCUUAACAAUACGUACUCGAUUAUCCAUAAUUCUCCAUUGCAUAUGUUUGUUUCUAAAUAACCAGUUUGUUUUAUUGUGGCAAAGCAAAGAUAUGUUUUAUUUACUCU